AUUGAACGCUGGCGGCAGGCCUAACACAUGCAAGUCGAGCGGAUGAAGGGAGCUUGCUCCUGGAUUCAGCGGCGGACGGGUGAGUAAUGCCUAGGAAUCUGCCUGGUAGUGGGGGAUAACGUCCGGAAACGGGCGCUAAUACCGUAUACGUCCUGAGGGAGAAAGUGGGGGAUCUUCGGACCCCACGCUAUCAGAUGAGCCUAGGUCGGAUUAGCUAGUUGGUGGGGUAAAGGCCUACCAAGGCGACGAUCCGUAACUGGUCUGAGAGGAUGAUCAGUCACACUGGAACUGAGACACGGUCCAGACUCCUACGGGAGGCAGCAGUGGGGAAUAUUGGACAAUGGGCGAAAGCCUGAUCCAGCCAUGCCGCGUGUGUGAAGAAGGUCUUCGGAUUGUAAAGCACUUUAAGUUGGGAAGAAGGGCAGUAAGUUAAUACCUUGCUGUUUUGACGUUACCAACAGAAUAAGCACCGGCUAACUUCGUG
This 484-nucleotide ribosomal RNA is filed under the name uncultured bacterium. RNAcentral's name for it is "partial 16S ribosomal RNA". It matches the Rfam family "Bacterial small subunit ribosomal RNA", at positions 30 to 507 of the family's 1533-position model. The record is from RNAcentral.